Molecule: ribosomal RNA, 305 nt
Filed under: uncultured bacterium
Lineage: Bacteria
Description: bacterial SSU rRNA
Rfam family: Bacterial small subunit ribosomal RNA
Source: RNAcentral
UUUCCUACGGGACGCAGCAGUGAGGAAUAUUGGUCAAUGGGAGGAAUCCUGAACCAGCCAUGCCGCGUGCAGGACGACGGCUCUACGAGUUGUAAACUGCUUUUGUACCGGGGUAAAAUGCCUUACGAGUAGGGUUUUGAAAGUACGGUACGAAUAAGGAUCGGCUAACUCCGUGCCAGCAGCCGCGGUAAUACGGAGGAUUCAAGCGUUAUCCGGAUUUAUUGGGUUUAAAGGGUGCGUAGGCGGUCGGAUAAGUUAGAGGUGAAAUCCCGAGGCUCAACUUCGGAAUUGCCUCUGAUACUGUU